GAUGAACGCUAGCGGCAGGCUUAACACAUGCAAGUCGAGGGGCAGCAUGAACAUAGCUUGCUAUGUUUGAUGGCGACCGGCGCACGGGUGCGUAACACGUAUCCAAUCUGCCCGUCACUCGGGGAUAGCCUUCUGAAAGGAAGAUUAAUACCCGAUGGCAUGUAUUUCCGGCAUCGGAGAUACAUUAAAGAUUUUAUCGGUAACGGAUGAGGAUGCGUACGAUUAGCUAGUUGGCGGGGUAACGGCCCACCAAGGCUACGAUCGUUAGGGGUUCUGAGAGGAAGGUCCCCCACACUGGAACUGAGACACGGUCCAGACUCCUACGGGAGGCAGCAGUGAGGAAUAUUGGUCAAUGGGCGAGAGCCUGAACCAGCCAAGUAGCGUGAAGGAUGACUGCCCUACGGGUUGUAAACUUCUUUUGUUUGGGAAUAAUGAUACUACGUGUAGCGUUGUGCAUGUACCUUACGAAUAAGCAUCGGCUAAUUCCGUGCCAG
This 494-nucleotide ribosomal RNA is filed under the name uncultured bacterium. RNAcentral describes it as "bacterial SSU rRNA". It matches the Rfam family "Bacterial small subunit ribosomal RNA", at positions 28 to 511 of the family's 1533-position model. The record is from RNAcentral.